CCUACGGGAGGCAGCAGUGAGGAAUAUUGGUCAAUGGACGAGAGUCUGAACCAGCCAAGUAGCGUGAAGGAUGACUGCCCUAUGGGUUGUAAACUUCUUUUAUAUGGGAAUAAAACAGGGUAUGCAUACCCUCUUGUAUGUACCAUAUGAAUAAGGAUCGGCUAACUCCGGUCCAGCAGCCGCGGUAAUACGGAGGAUACGAGCGUUAUCCGGAUUUAUUGGGGUUAAAGGGAGCGUAGGUGGAUUGUUAAGUCAGUUGUGAAAGUUUGCGGGGCAACCGUAAAAUUGCAGUUGAAACUGGCAGGCGUGAGUACAGUAGAGGUGGGCGGGAAUCGUGGUGUAGCGGUGAAAUGCUUAGAUAUCACGAAGAACUCCGAUUGCGAAGGCAGCUAACUGGACUGCAACUGAAACUGAUGCUCGAAAGUGUGGGUAUCAAACAGGAAUAGAUAACCUUGGAGUC
Molecule: ribosomal RNA, 460 nt
Filed under: uncultured bacterium
Lineage: Bacteria
Description: partial 16S ribosomal RNA
Rfam family: Bacterial small subunit ribosomal RNA
Source: RNAcentral